CCUACGGGAGGCAGCAGUAGGGAAUAUUGCACAAUGGGGGAAACCCUGAAGCAGCAACGCCGCGUGGAGGAUGAAGGUUUUCGGAUUGUAAACUCCUUUUGUUAGAGAAGAUAAUGACGGUAUCUAACGAAUAGGCACCGGCUAACUCCGUGCCAGCAGCCGCGGUAAUACGGAGGGUGCAAGCGUUACUCGGAAUCACUGGGCGUAAAGAGCGCGUAGGCGGGAUAGCAAGUCAGAUGUGAAAUCCUAUGGCUUAACCAUAGAACUGCAUUUGAAACUGUUAUUCUAGAGUGUGGGAGAGGUAAGUGGAAUUCUUGGUGUAGUGGUAAAAUGCGUAGAUAUCAAGAGGAAUACUCAUUGCGAAGGCGACCUGCUAGAACGUAACUGACGCUGAUGCGCGAAAGCGUGGGGAGCAAACAGGAUUAGAUACCCCUGUAGUC
Molecule: ribosomal RNA, 440 nt
Filed under: uncultured bacterium
Lineage: Bacteria
Description: partial 16S ribosomal RNA
Rfam family: Bacterial small subunit ribosomal RNA
Source: RNAcentral